AUUGAACGCUGGCGGCAGGCCUAACACAUGCAAGUCGAGCGGAUGAGUGGAGCUUGCUCCAUGAUUCAGCGGCGGACGGGUGAGUAAUGCCUAGGAAUCUGCCUGGUAGUGGGGGACAACGUUUCGAAAGGAACGCUAAUACCGCAUACGUCCUACGGGAGAAAGUGGGGGAUCUUCGGACCUCACGCUAUCAGAUGAGCCUAGGUCGGAUUAGCUAGUUGGUGAGGUAAAGGCUCACCAAGGCGACGAUCCGUAACUGGUCUGAGAGGAUGAUCAGUCACACUGGAACUGAGACACGGUCCAGACUCCUACGGGAGGCAGCAGUGGGGAAUAUUGGACAAUGGGCGAAAGCCUGAUCCAGCCAUGCCGCGUGUGUGAAGAAGGUCUUCGGAUUGUAAAGCACUUUAAGUUGGGAGGAAGGGCAGUAAGUUAAUACCUUGCUGUUUUGACGUUACCAACAGAAUAAGCACCGGCUAACUUCGUGCCAGCAGCCGCCGUAA
This 500-nucleotide ribosomal RNA is filed under the name uncultured bacterium. RNAcentral's name for it is "partial 16S ribosomal RNA". It matches the Rfam family "Bacterial small subunit ribosomal RNA", at positions 30 to 523 of the family's 1533-position model. The record is from RNAcentral.